GAGCCUCGCGCUGACUCUGAAGGUUCUGGUAACUCGACUUCAGAUGGCAGAGCUGAGGCUGC
Molecule: microRNA precursor, 62 nt
Filed under: Columba livia (rock pigeon)
Lineage: Eukaryota; Metazoa; Chordata; Aves; Columbiformes; Columbidae
Description: Cli-Mir-9640_pre stem-loop
Source: RNAcentral